CUACGGGGGGCACCAGUAAGGAAUAUUGCGCAAUGGAGGCAACUCUGACGCAGCCAUGCCGCGUGCAGGAAGAAGGCCUUAUGGGUCGUAAACUGCUUUUAUUUAGGAAUAAGCCCUCGCUCGUGAGCGAGGCUGAAGGUACUGAAUGAAUAAGCACCGGCUAACUCCGUGCCAGCAGCCGCGGUAAUACGGAGGGUGCAAGCGUUGUCCGGAUUUAUUGGGUUUAAAGGGUGCGCAGGCGGGCUAUUAAGUCAGUGGUGAAAUCCCGGGGCUCAACUCCGGAACUGCCAUUGAUACUGAUAGUCUUGAGUUUGGUUGAAGUGGGCGGAAUGUAGCAUGUAGCGGUGAAAUGCAUAGAUAUGCUACAGAACACCAAUCGCGAAGGCAGCUCACUAAGCCAAAACUGACGUUCAUGCACGAAAGCGUGGGGAUCAAACAGGAUUAGAUACCCCAGUAGUC
This 459-nucleotide ribosomal RNA is filed under the name uncultured bacterium. RNAcentral describes it as "partial 16S ribosomal RNA". It matches the Rfam family "Bacterial small subunit ribosomal RNA", at positions 339 to 795 of the family's 1533-position model. The record is from RNAcentral.